This 2902-nucleotide ribosomal RNA is filed under the name Klebsiella pneumoniae. RNAcentral describes it as "23S ribosomal RNA". It matches the Rfam family "Bacterial large subunit ribosomal RNA". RNAcentral also lists the same sequence under 1 other name. The record is from RNAcentral. Lineage: Bacteria; Pseudomonadati; Pseudomonadota; Gammaproteobacteria; Enterobacterales; Enterobacteriaceae.
GGUUAAGCGACUAAGCGUACACGGUGGAUGCCCUGGCAGUCAGAGGCGAUGAAGGACGUGCUAAUCUGCGAAAAGCGUCGGUAAGGUGAUAUGAACCGUUAUAACCGGCGAUGUCCGAAUGGGGAAACCCAGUGUGAUUCGUCACACUAUCGUUAACUGAAUACAUAGGUUAACGAGGCGAACCGGGGGAACUGAAACAUCUAAGUACCCCGAGGAAAAGAAAUCAACCGAGAUUCCCCCAGUAGCGGCGAGCGAACGGGGAGCAGCCCAGAGUCUGAAUCAGCUUGUGUGUUAGUGGAACGGUCUGGAAAGUCCGACGGUACAGGGUGAUAGUCCCGUACACCAAAAUGCACAGGCUGUGAACUCGAAGAGUAGGGCGGGACACGUGGUAUCCUGUCUGAAUAUGGGGGGACCAUCCUCCAAGGCUAAAUACUCCUGACUGACCGAUAGUGAACCAGUACCGUGAGGGAAAGGCGAAAAGAACCCCGGCGAGGGGAGUGAAAAAGAACCUGAAACCGUGUACGUACAAGCAGUGGGAGCACCUUCGGGUGUGACUGCGUACCUUUUGUAUAAUGGGUCAGCGACUUAUAUUCUGUAGCAAGGUUAACCGUAUAGGGGAGCCGCAGGGAAACCGAGUCUUAACUGGGCGUUAAGUUGCAGGGUAUAGACCCGAAACCCGGUGAUCUAGCCAUGGGCAGGUUGAAGGUUGGGUAACACUAACUGGAGGACCGAACCGACUAAUGUUGAAAAAUUAGCGGAUGACUUGUGGCUGGGGGUGAAAGGCCAAUCAAACCGGGAGAUAGCUGGUUCUCCCCGAAAGCUAUUUAGGUAGCGCCUCGUGAACUCAUCUUCGGGGGUAGAGCACUGUUUCGGCUAGGGGGUCAUCCCGACUUACCAACCCGAUGCAAACUACGAAUACCGAAGAAUGUUAUCACGGGAGACACACGGCGGGUGCUAACGUCCGUCGUGAAGAGGGAAACAACCCAGACCGCCAGCUAAGGUCCCAAAGUCAUGGUUAAGUGGGAAACGAUGUGGGAAGGCACAGACAGCCAGGAUGUUGGCUUAGAAGCAGCCAUCAUUUAAAGAAAGCGUAAUAGCUCACUGGUCGAGUCGGCCUGCGCGGAAGAUGUAACGGGGCUAAACCAUGCACCGAAGCUGCGGCAGCGACACUAUGUGUUGUUGGGUAGGGGAGCGUUCUGUAAGCCUGCGAAGGUGUGCUGUGAGGCAUGCUGGAGGUAUCAGAAGUGCGAAUGCUGACAUAAGUAACGAUAAAGCGGGUGAAAAGCCCGCUCGCCGGAAGACCAAGGGUUCCUGUCCAACGUUAAUCGGGGCAGGGUGAGUCGACCCCUAAGGCGAGGCCGAAAGGCGUAGUCGAUGGGAAACAGGUUAAUAUUCCUGUACUUGGUGUUACUGCGAAGGGGGGACGGAGAAGGCUAUGUUAGCCGGGCGACGGUUGUCCCGGUUUAAGCAUGUAGGCUGAUUGUCCAGGCAAAUCCGGAUAAUCAAGGCUGAGGUGUGAUGACGAGGCACUACGGUGCUGAAGUAACAAAUGCCCUGCUUCCAGGAAAAGCCUCUAAGCAUCAGGUAACAUUAAAUCGUACCCCAAACCGACACAGGUGGUCAGGUAGAGAAUACCAAGGCGCUUGAGAGAACUCGGGUGAAGGAACUAGGCAAAAUGGUGCCGUAACUUCGGGAGAAGGCACGCUGGUGUGUAGGUGAAGUCCCUGCGGAUGGAGCUGAGACCAGUCGAAGAUACCAGCUGGCUGCAACUGUUUAUUAAAAACACAGCACUGUGCAAACACGAAAGUGGACGUAUACGGUGUGACGCCUGCCCGGUGCCGGAAGGUUAAUUGAUGGGGUUAUCCGUAAGGAGAAGCUCUUGAUCGAAGCCCCGGUAAACGGCGGCCGUAACUAUAACGGUCCUAAGGUAGCGAAAUUCCUUGUCGGGUAAGUUCCGACCUGCACGAAUGGCGUAAUGAUGGCCAGGCUGUCUCCACCCGAGACUCAGUGAAAUUGAACUCGCUGUGAAGAUGCAGUGUACCCGCGGCAAGACGGAAAGACCCCGUGAACCUUUACUAUAGCUUGACACUGAACAUUGAGCCUUGAUGUGUAGGAUAGGUGGGAGGCUUUGAAGCGUGGACGCCAGUCUGCGUGGAGCCAACCUUGAAAUACCACCCUUUAAUGUUUGAUGUUCUAACGUUGGCCCCUGACCGGGGUUGCGGACAGUGUCUGGUGGGUAGUUUGACUGGGGCGGUCUCCUCCCAAAGCGUAACGGAGGAGCACGAAGGUUAGCUAAUCCUGGUCGGACAUCAGGAGGUUAGUGCAAUGGCAUAAGCUAGCUUGACUGCGAGCGUGACGGCGCGAGCAGGUGCGAAAGCAGGUCAUAGUGAUCCGGUGGUUCUGAAUGGAAGGGCCAUCGCUCAACGGAUAAAAGGUACUCCGGGGAUAACAGGCUGAUACCGCCCAAGAGUUCAUAUCGACGGCGGUGUUUGGCACCUCGAUGUCGGCUCAUCACAUCCUGGGGCUGAAGUAGGUCCCAAGGGUAUGGCUGUUCGCCAUUUAAAGUGGUACGCGAGCUGGGUUUAGAACGUCGUGAGACAGUUCGGUCCCUAUCUGCCGUGGGCGCUGGAGAAUUGAGGGGGGCUGCUCCUAGUACGAGAGGACCGGAGUGGACGCAUCACUGGUGUUCGGGUUGUCAUGCCAAUGGCACUGCCCGGUAGCUAAAUGCGGAAGAGAUAAGUGCUGAAAGCAUCUAAGCACGAAACUUGCCCCGAGAUGAGUUCUCCCUGAGACUUUAAGUCUCCUGAAGGAACGUUAAAGACGAUGACGUUGAUAGGCCGGGUGUGUAAGCGCAGCGAUGCGUUGAGCUAACCGGUACUAAUGAACCGUGAGGCUUAACCUU